ACCCUGCUGGCUUAGUUGGUAAAGCGUGUGACUCUUAAUCACAGGGUCUUGAGUUCAAGUCCCACAUUGGGUG
This 73-nucleotide transfer RNA is filed under the name Ailuropoda melanoleuca (giant panda). It matches the Rfam family "tRNA". Rfam says of the family: Transfer RNA (tRNA) molecules are approximately 80 nucleotides in length. Their secondary structure includes four short double-helical elements and three loops (D, anti-codon, and T loops). The record is from Rfam by way of RNAcentral. Lineage: Eukaryota; Metazoa; Chordata; Mammalia; Carnivora; Ursidae.